AGUGAACGCUGGCGGUAGGCCUAACACAUGCAAGUCGAACGGCAGCACAGGAGAGCUUGCUCUCUAGGUGGCGAGUGGCGGACGGGCGAGGAAUACAUCGGAAUCUGCCCAGUCGUGGGGGAUAACGUAGGGAAACUUACGCUAAUACCGCAUACGACCUUCGGGUGAAAGAGGGGGAUCGCAAGACCUCUCGCGAUUGGAUGAGCCGAUGUCGGAUUAGCUAGUUAGCGGGGUAAUGGCCCACCAAGGCGACGAUCCGUAGCUGGUCUGAGAGGAUGAUCAGCCACACUGGAACUGAGACACGGUCCAGACUCCUACGGGAGGCAGCAGUGGGGAAUAUUGGACAAAGGGCGCAAGCCUGAUCCAGCCAUACCGCGUGGGUGAAGAAGGCCUUCGGGUUGUAAAGCCCUUUUGUUGGGAAAGAAAUCUUUCAGGCUAAUACCCUGGGAGGAUGACGGUACCCAAAGAAUAAGCACCGGCUAACUUCGUG
RNAcentral lists this ribosomal RNA (490 nucleotides) under uncultured bacterium. Its description in RNAcentral is "partial 16S ribosomal RNA". It matches the Rfam family "Bacterial small subunit ribosomal RNA", at positions 29 to 507 of the family's 1533-position model. The record is from RNAcentral.